Molecule: long non-coding RNA, 1016 nt
Filed under: Equus caballus (horse)
Lineage: Eukaryota; Metazoa; Chordata; Mammalia; Perissodactyla; Equidae
Description: lncRNA (ENSECAG00000046422.1)
Source: RNAcentral
AGAAGCCAUCAAGUAUCAAAAAAGAACAUACGGUAAAAGGUUGGGCAGAAUAGAUGGUAAAAAGAGUUAGUUCUCUUCCAAAAGCCACAUGCACUCUCUCUCUAGCACGCUGCUAUGAUAUGUCACAAUACGUCCAACAAUCCAUUCAAGAGCACAGCAGAGGCAGCAGUGGGUACGGCUUUGGAAGAUCUAGUCUGCCCUUCCACCAUCAACUGCAGGAUCUUGAGCAAGUCAUUUAACCCCUCUGAGCCUCGGUCUCCUCAAAUGUGAAUCGAAGAGAAUACUCUCUCCCCAGCAGACCUCAAAACACUUUGAUCUUGAAGUUCCCGUUCAAGUCAGCAGAAAAGUCAUGUAAGAGCAGAUCAGCCCUGUCUUAGUGGCGCCUCCAUCACUUCAGGUCUACACUUACUUAGUGAGGCUGAGAAAGAAGUGGGAGAACGACUGCUAUAUCUCUGAUCCAAAAACAACAAAAUAGGUGCCAGCCCUCUAGCUGACAGGUCAAUAGACAGUCUUCCCUGAAUGGGAAGCACAAUGAGCACACUUCAUAAUUCUAGGGUUUGAGACGAUGACUAACACCUUGUGUUACAGCCAUACUUGCCACUGACGAGAGGUCAAUUACACUGACGAUGUGAAUUCUUUACAAAGUCAAGCUCAUUCUAUCCUAGUAACAAGGAUUCUUCCAGAGUUGACACUAGUCAAAUAGUCACAAAAAUGUUUCCCUGGAGACUGUGGUGAAUGCUGCGGAGAAGAAGUUCAGGGACCACGAAAGAAACCAACGGUGGUGGGCAGACGGAGCCCACCUGUAAGGAGGAGAAGCGACCCCGAGAAAGCCCAUUCUAUCUGAAGGAGGUGCAGGAGCUCAGAGAAAGGGAUGGAGAGCAGGGGAGAAGAGCCAGCCACGCAAAGGGAACAGCAUGUGCAAAGUUCUCUUACACCAGCCUGUAUUUCACGUCCCCGGCCUCAAUUUCCUCAUUGUAACGUAAAGGGGAAAAUCAAAGGAUUUUACUGUCUGACAG